Molecule: long non-coding RNA, 1224 nt
Organism: Paramacrobiotus metropolitanus
Lineage: Eukaryota; Metazoa; Tardigrada; Eutardigrada; Parachela; Macrobiotidae
Exons: 4
Source: RefSeq, a predicted model, not a curated record
UGGAUCUUGUCGCUCGCAUUGUUUUUUUUCUGACUCGAAAACGCAGCUCUACCAAAACUGGAAUUAUUAUGCUCUGUCUUGCGCUAAAUGUCACAAAUCUGGAGAGGAGCAACAUAUAAAAUAUAACAAAAACAUUUGGAUACAGUUUCACAUCCUCGAUAGUUGGAUGGAAAUUUUCAAGGGUCAUGUCAAAACCUCCAUCAAAACUUUAGCCGGAUAUCAUGGAUGAUGUGGGAUUUCUCUGCAUGACGAAGAGCGCCAUCCCUAAUCACAGAGCGAGCAAUAAGUGUAAGGAGAGUGUGCUACGUCCAUUCAACCACGGGCUUGACCAAUCAACCAACGUCGAAGUUCCAGCCACCCAGCCUAACCCCAACCCUCUGAACCAGGUUCGAGCAAACUUGGAUACGCCAAAGGUUGAUUACACAAUAAAGACGGAUGCAAACUCUGACACUUACAGCAGAUUUCUCUGCCGUUAGAUAAUUUCUCUCUGAAUCUGACUUUCGUUAAACUGCGAAACAUUUUGCUGACCAUUCUGAUUAUUACCGUUAAAUCGCUGCUGAUUAUUACGUGUUCAAACGGGUACAGCAACAAAUGGAAGAAAAGCUUAUGACAAAGCAACUGUGUUUCUGUGCUCGCGGCGGUUGUGAGGUAGUUGUACAUGCAGCCAGACGGUUUCUCAACUGCUAUUUUGAAGAAGUGCAAGUUGUCAUUAAGUUUGGUUUUCGCAACGCGUUCAAUAUUUUAUCAGACAGUGUUACCGUAAUCCCAGCAGUCUACCAGUGGGACACUCUGUUCCAAGCUGGGGUGCAGCAAGGAGAUCUCCUGCGCCUGAUACUGCUUUCACUCCUUGGCAGUGGAUGCAUGAUAUCUCACAUGGCACUGGCUAAGCGCACAUUUGCCCUGGACGACGGAACAAAAGCGAACCCGGAUGAAGGCUUUCAUGCAGAAAUCUGAACACACACCACGCCUUGCGCGCUAGCCGAAAACCAGCUGUCAAAAAAAGGAUUCUGUAGCCAGCGCAGCUGUGCUGCAGACCGUGAAAAAAGGCAGGCGAUAAAAGGUGGCACUGGCACCUGCCACUGGCAACUACCACCGGCAGUGGCAGCUGCCACUACGCGUUCUGGCAAGCGAUAAAACGUGGCAAGUACCGGAACCUUGAAAUGAAAUAGUUAUGCCAUCCAGCGACAAUCUCUAUAUAAAUUAUUCAGAAGGAAGUAAGUUGCA